This 245-nucleotide ribosomal RNA is filed under the name uncultured Lachnoanaerobaculum sp. RNAcentral describes it as "partial 16S ribosomal RNA". It matches the Rfam family "Bacterial small subunit ribosomal RNA", at positions 524 to 768 of the family's 1533-position model. Lineage: Bacteria; Bacillati; Bacillota; Clostridia; Lachnospirales; Lachnospiraceae. The record is from RNAcentral.
UACGUAGGGGGCAAGCGUUAUCCGGAUUUACUGGGUGUAAAGGGAGCGCAGACGGUAUAGCAAGUCUGAAGUGAAAUGUUAGGGCUCAACCCUAAAGCUGCUUUGGAAACUGCUAAACUUGAGUGUCGGAGGGGUAAGCGGAAUUCCUAGUGUAGCGGUGAAAUGCGUAGAUAUUAGGAGGAACACCGGCGGCGAAGGCGGCUUACUGGACGAUAACUGACGUUGAGGCUCGAAAGCGUGGGGAG